Molecule: ribosomal RNA, 537 nt
Filed under: uncultured crenarchaeote
Lineage: Archaea; Thermoproteati; Thermoproteota
Description: bacterial SSU rRNA
Rfam family: Archaeal small subunit ribosomal RNA
Source: RNAcentral
CCCUAUGGGGCGCAGCAGGCGCGAAACCUCUGCAAUAGGCGAAAGCCUSACAGGGUUACUCUGAGUGAUUUCCGCUAAGGGGAUCUUUUGGCACCUCUAAAAAUGGUGCAGAAUAAGGGGUGGGCAAGUCUGGUGUCAGCCGCCGCGGUAAUACCAGCACCCCGAGUGGUCGGGACGAUUAUUGGGCCUAAAGCAUCCGUAGCCGGUUCUKCAAKUCUUCCGUUAAAUCCAGCCGCUCAACGGAUGGGCCGCGGAGGAUACUANAGGACUAGGAGGCGGGAGAGGCAAGCGGUACUCAGUGGGUAGGGGUAAAAUCCUUUGAUCCAUUGAAGACCACCAGUGGCGAAGGCGGCUUGCCAGAACGCGCUCGACGGUGAGGGAUGAAAGCUGGGGGAGCAAACCGGAUUAGAUACCCGGGUAGUCCCAGCUGUAAACGAUGCAGACUCGGUGAUGGGCUAGCCUUGUSCCAGCCCAGUGCCGCAGGGAASACCGUUAAGUCUGCCGCYUGGGGAGUACGGUCGCAAGACUGAAACUUAA